AUGAGUGUUACAUUUUGCAAGGGCUUGCUGAAUGAGUAUGCCGCAAAGCUCAUUGUAAAACCACCCACAUACAACACUGUGGAGUAUAUGAAGGUGUAUCCAUAUUUUGUAUGCACUAUAGAUUUCAACUGUACAAGUUACAUUGGAGAUCCAGCUAGAAGAAAAAAGGAUGCGAAGGAUUUAGCAGCUUAUGUCUCCAUUCUUUCAAUCCUAGAUAACUCUGACUCGGGGAUAUGCUUGUUCAGAUGA
Molecule: non-coding RNA, 249 nt
Organism: Vicia faba (fava bean)
Lineage: Eukaryota; Viridiplantae; Streptophyta; Magnoliopsida; Fabales; Fabaceae
Source: the annotation of a GenBank genome assembly